Molecule: small nucleolar RNA, 132 nt
Organism: Cynocephalus volans (Philippine flying lemur)
Lineage: Eukaryota; Metazoa; Chordata; Mammalia; Dermoptera; Cynocephalidae
Product: small nucleolar RNA SNORA69
Exons: 1
Source: RefSeq, a predicted model, not a curated record
AAAGUAGUUUGCAAUUACAGUGCUUCGUUUUGUGGAAUUAUUGCCAUUAUCCUGCAGAAAGAAAAUCUGUGUUGAUCAUUUGCAAUUUUGCCUUUAUGAAGGUAAAAUCAUGACAGAUUGUCAUGGACUAUU